RNAcentral lists this ribosomal RNA (446 nucleotides) under uncultured bacterium. RNAcentral's name for it is "partial 16S ribosomal RNA". It matches the Rfam family "Bacterial small subunit ribosomal RNA", at positions 338 to 795 of the family's 1533-position model. The record is from RNAcentral.
CCUACGGGUGGCAGCAGUCGAGAAUCAUUCACAAUGGGGGAAACCCUGAUGGUGCGACGCCGCGUGGGGGAAUGAAGGUCUUCGGAUUGUACACCCCUGUCAUGUGGGAGCAAAUUAAAAAGAUAGUACCACAAGAGGAAGAGACGGCUAACUCUGUGCCAGCAGCCGCGGUAAUACGGAGGGAUCAAGCGGUGUUCGGAACCACUGGGCGUAAAGCGUGCGGAUGCUGUUUCGUAAGUCGUUGGUGAAAGGUGCGGGCUCAACCCGCGGACGGAACAUGAUACUGCGAGACUAGAGUAAUGGAGGGGGAACCGGAAUGCUCGGUGUAGCAGUGAAAUGCGUAGAUAUCGAGAGGAACACUCGUGGCGAAGGCGGGUUCCUGGACAUUAACUGACGCUGAGGCACGAAGGCCAGGGGAGCGAAAGGGAUUAGAUACCCUAGUAGUC